This is a non-coding RNA of Coturnix japonica (Japanese quail), 11428 nucleotides long. NCBI's taxonomy places the organism in Eukaryota, Metazoa, Chordata, Aves, Galliformes, Phasianidae. The record is from RefSeq and is a predicted model, not a curated record.
GGGACAUGGCGGCUGUGGGGCGGGAGGGAGUGGCUGAAGGGACCAAGUGAUCUCCUAAAUCAUCACAUAAUUUAUAGUGUCACUUCAGGAACUGCAUGGUGUGGCAGCUCUGAGAGCACAUCCCUGUACUGUGGCACUCAAGGAAAGACUGAAAUGCUUUUAGGACUUCUCAGCUAUAUAAUGAGGAUCAUCUUGUUUGGGGGUAACACGGAGUAACAACAGGGUCACGCUUUCUCUGUCAGAUUCCUGUCUCAAAGGAUAUCCAGAUGAAUUUCUGUAGCAAAUGCAUGUUCUUCAUAUACAUUCCCCUUAACUCAUCUGAGUUUCAUUUCUGCUGUGAGCGUUACAUCACUGUCUCUCUGCAAGUAUCCCUGGAGUGCUUGGGAAGGACAUUCGGUCAUCAGUGGGGCUGAACUCUGUCCCAUGGAAAGUGGCAGAGAGAAAGAUCGCUGUUCUGGGUAAGAGCAGCUACUGCAUGUGGAGUCUAAGCUGCGGAGAAAUGUAUUCUGACACGUUCUCAUUUGUCUUUGCACAACUGCACAGCGGUCUGGGUAAUGCAUCUGAGCAGCCUCCUGGUCAGUCUAAAGAGUAGAGUAUUCCUCUCUUCCCAUGUAGAAAUAAAGAACUGCAGGGAUGAAUUCCACCAUCCAAGAAGCAGGCUGGAUAAGAUGGAAGUUGUGUCAGAUGGCUUCAAGGGUGCCUAAGACCACUCAGCAUUAAGUACUACUCGACUGCUGAUGCUCUUGAUAAUUGUCUCAUAUGUAAUCCCUGUUUAGCAACUGAGGGGAAAGUCGUGAUUUCCUAAAAGGGCUGUACCAUCUGUCAGUGCUACUCAGAUUUUUUUUCAAACUUCUUUUGAGUUAUUUUUUUUCUCUCUUUCUGACAUUCACCAUUCCCAGGCUGGGCUAUAGCCUGGUGAGUGUGCUGUUCAGUACCAAUUAUGACAUACAUUGAGCUGUUUCUCUUAAAAUCUGAAGUGUCUCAGCAAAUGAAAUGCCACUGACACAAAUACUGACAACCAGCUUUCCAUGUGGGGAUGUGAAGCAAGGCAGAUAACCAUUAUGGUCCUUUCAGGUAUUUCUGCAGGGAGUUCAGACUGUUUUCAUCUUCAGAACGACCCCACUGAUCCCAGAGAGCUUCUUUGUAAAAGCAGCUAUAUCUUGAAUUCCUCUGUGUCAAAAGCUGGUGAUAAACCUCAGACUUUUGCCAGAGAUAAGAGGAUCAUAUUUCAUACAACUGACAUGCUAAACCCACCCAAACCAAAGCACAGCAGGAUACAGAAUGAAGACUGCAGUAAUGCAAACUCCUGAAGAAAAAAAAACCAAAGAAGUUAGCAUGGCAAACAGCAAGAAACUAAACAAACACAGUCAAACACAACCCAUCAAGGAAGCAAAUGCACCGAGUAUGAUGAGAAAGGAAAAGUCAGAUUAGGGCCAUCUCCACUCAUGGGAACACAUGAGGAGAGGAAGCAACUACAAGCUGCACACUUUCCUCCAGAUAGAAAGGCUUGAUUUUCAGAAGUACUUUUUAGGACAGAAUUUUCUGCUUCCCACAAGGAAUAAGAUCAUUUUUUAAAGCUUAGCCUUACCAGGAAGUCAGGGUGAAUACUGGAAUGUAGUUUAACAUUGUACCCUCUGAGGAAAUGGUUAUCCCCACUAACAGGGGGUAAUUAGAAAGAAAGAUGAUGUUGCCUGUGGAACUUACUUAGAAACUUAUCUCUGGCAUUUUAUAGUGUGUUGGUAUCAAUAAAGCAGAAGGGAAUUGGUGUUGGUGGUUCAUGUGUGUGCGUGUGCACACCUCAGCCAUGCAGACCCUGAGGCAAGAGUCAGGAAGAUCAGAGGAGGAAACUGGCCUCAUCCUUUCAGCAUCCUUCCUUCAGCUACUCAUAGAUGUGAAUGAGUUCCCCUUGAACUGCUGCUUCUACAGGUUGAACAGGCCCAGAUCUCUCAGCCUUUCCUCAUAAGAGAGAUGCUCCCGCCCCUUCAUAAUCUUCAUGGCCCUACAUUGGACUCUUUCUAAUAUGUCUGUAUCUUUUUUCUGCUGGAGGGGUCAGAAAUGGGUCCAGCACUCCAGGUGUGACCUCACCAGAACGAAGGCAGCAAUAACAUAUUCUGAGCUCAAGAAGGUCUCUCAUAUUUCUCUCCAAUACAGGGAACAACCACAGUUUUUAAGGAUGUAUCAUUUUAAAAAUAAUGAGUAAUGAGAUAUAUACCUUGUUCCCUUUCUUCCAGAAGGAAGAUAUUUAGAAUAGAGCACUGACAAAGCCUAUAAUUCCGCACCACUUUCUUCUAUGAUUUUCACAGCCAGAGUAGCAAUGGGAAAGUGACGCAGGUCAGCAAUGGAGCAAAAAGCUGAAUGUCAAUUAGUGAGAAAAAGUAAAUAAAUCAGUGGCUGUACUAUUACCAAGAGGAUCAGAGGCUUGCUCUUCCUGUCUGCAGCCAGCUCUCACAGCAGCUGAACCAGGGCAACUGCCAGCGUAGGCGAAGCAAAGCGAAAUGAAGUUCAAGACCUGUUGCCAAGGGGUGGAAAGGUUUAAAAACAACAAACGCCUCAUCUUGACAAUGUAAAAUCUGCAAAGACUAGAACAGAAAGGGCCAAUUACUACCUUAUGUUCCAGUUCUAAUCUGAAAUUAUAGGAUGGAUUUCUAAUGAGGGGGAACACUGCUGGAGGCAGCUGUGGUGGAUGGAGGGGUACACUGCUGCAAUUACAGAUCUUUGUGCAUUGGUGACAGAAGUUCCAAAACUACAAGAGGAAACGCCUUUGUAAUAUUUGUUUUUGCAGAAUCAAAUAACACCCUCAAUUUGCAGUGGAAUGGAAACACUCAAGUAUGUGAGUGUUCAAAGCAGAUUGCGGCACCUGGCAUGUGAUAGGAGCUGAGCUAAGAAGGUGGAGGUGAGCCAAUGUACUGGACCAGGGCUACAUGAGUGGUGGUUGGCCAGAGCAAAUAGAGCAGUGGCAACUGGGGGGAAAAAAAAAGAUAGAGCAGAUAGAGACAAAAUCCUAGGCAGGACAUCUGAUAAAGUACAGUCAGAACAGACUCCUAUCUUCCUUUCAAGAACAUUGCUAGCAGCGAGAGUGCUGAAUGCUUAAUUAUUAUACAGUGCAUGUUUCUAGAAUGACCAAGAAAAUGAUUUUUGAUGCAACAGGCUUUGUUUUAUUAUUAUUAUUUGACUUUGUGAGAUAUACAGUCAGAGACGGUGGCUUAAAACAUGUGGUCUGCAGACUCCUAGAGAUCCAGAGGACUUCCUAGGCCAUCAGAGUGGGUAACCUUGGAACAAACCAUCAUCUUGUCCUUAUCCAAGGGUCUGCAUCUCUCCUGCAAAGCUUAUAGGGCCCUAUAAGGGGAGAAGGCUUGAAAAAACACUGCCUCUAUGCUAUUACUGUUACAUGAAAGGAAAGGGAUGGUGUUUUUCCAAUUAACACUUCCAUGGAUGUACUAUGACUCAACUCCGCUGCAUGACUAUUUUUUCAGAGUAAUUUUGCUGUAUUCAGAUCAAGAAGUGGCCAUGCAAUGAACAACAGUUGCAUGAUUUGUAUUCUUCUCAUAGUUUAAUGUGGCAUAAGACUUUAUUGACUAUUCUUUUAUUUGUUCCCCGAGGUACUUCUUAAUUGACAAUAUUACAAUAUAUGAGUACUUCAUGGACAUUAAUUAGUCUAUGUAAAUCUCUGAGGUGAGCAGAUGAGAAAUGAAGAGAAAGAUACAUUAAUUAUUUGCAUCCAAUUUGGGAUAUUAAAAUCUGAUCUUUGCAAACACUUCAUACUAUAUUUUUUUGCAUAUACUAAAAGCACAGCCCCCAUUGCCUUUGGUUAUACCUCUGAGCACCUGUCUUUUUCAAGGCAGGAAUCACAUUGAUCACCGAGGAAAUGAGGAACAUCCAGGUACCUUCACACAAAUUUUGUCUUAUGAGGAAGGAGUUCUGGAGGGGCAGGACUGACUCUAAAGCAGCAUUCACACCCCAGGAGCAAUUUAUCUGCACCACUGUUCCACCUUCUCCUCACCCUCAGUUGUAAGUCCAGUACUUUGUAUAUAGCCAGUCCUCACAUCUGCUCCUUAAACUUCCCACACAUUCCUAAUCUGGCACAGCAAAUCCUUGGCCCUAGAAAAUCCAAGAUAAGUGCAUUGCAGACAUCAGAUGCAAACACAGACACAACUCAUUGCUUGGACCAUUGCCGUUAUCCUCUCCCUGGAUCAGCAGCACUGCCUGUGGCCUUUCUCCCUUCCUCCUGUACCACCUCGGUUCAGAUCUAAGUGUGAAGCACAGCCUGCCACAGAGCAUUUAACAACUACACCAAGAAAUAAAAGAAUCUUGCAUUUCGACUGGACAUGCUCAAAUCAUCAAGGAGGUUAGCUGCUAAUACUUUAAAGGUUUCUGCUGAGCAUGUGUAGAGCUGUAAGCUUUGAAAGGCCUCUGUCUUAGCUAACCCUGGCUGAAUUUGCUCAAGGACCAUAAAAGACUGUGCUCUUUCAGAAAGCCCACUUCCUCCUCCACACCUCCUGAUACCAAAUGCCAAAUACUCAUUCCAGAGACCUGAGUGAAAUGCAUUUUGCUUUUUUCCUGUAUCUGAAAAGCACCAUCACCCAUACAUGUGUGUGUUUGUGAUGUGGCAAGUGCAGCUGAGCACCUCUGAACAGCCCAGUUCCAGAAGCUGAACUCUGAAAAAUCUACAACUGGCUGGAAACAGGGCUUUAUGAUGAAAUGUGUAGAUAACUUUAAUAGCACUUGGAGCCAUCAGCCUCACCUGCAAUCAACAAUCAGAUUUGGAGAGACCUAUACCAAAACAAAAGGUGUUGUGGUGAAGCCUACCAGGCCUUUGUUUUGUUCUCCACAUUGGCAGUGUGGCAGAUACAGCCAGACAGCACUGUAAUCUGGGAACCAGAUAUCUGGGAGAGAAAUUACAGCCACACCAACACCUAGCUCUCAUCUGGGUCUAUGCAUUUAUUUAUUUAUUCAUUUAUUAUUCUCUUUGAGCUCUUUAGCUGGCUAAUUACGAAGCCUGAAUCAGCAGCUUGCCCAACUAGGGCAACUACUCCAUAUGUACCUGUGACCCUUUGAAAGAUCUCCCAGUGAGAACUCGAGUUAUUAAGCAGCAAGCCCCUCGCAAACCUCUUGGCUUUGUUCAUUUAGCUGACCAUGUAAAUGCAUGCUGUGUUCUACUACAGAGCGCUUUCUCAGUUUCCUAUUUUAAGAUGAAUUAAGGGGGGUAAAAAAAAUAUCUAUAAACCUUGACAUCACGUUUUGCAAAGGAAGCAAAUGCGCUCCUCCCUAGACUCAAAAUGAAUGGCCUUUUAAGGUGACUGCUGAAUUAAAUUCCUGAAUGAUGAAAUCAACAUGUAUGAAAAAGUGCUUGUUUCCGAAAGAGAAAAAAGCUGCAGGAAAAAAAAAAAAAAAAGGAAAAAUAAAAAGCUCGGUAGUGUGAUGGCAGGGUUGAGAGCUGAAUAGGAGCUGUUUACAGUGACUCAAUAAAGAUACUUUACUCAGCUUUGGUAGUAAUGCAGCUUCACAGGCUGAAGGGAAAUGGGGAUAUACAUAUUCUGAGCCCGCUAAGCUUCUCUAAUGUAAGACAUGUGCAUUUAGUUGAAGUCCUGAAAUACCUCACUAAGAAGAAGCAUGAUGGAAACCCCAAGCACAUCUUUCUGUUUAUCAUACAUUACAUAUUUCUGACAUUCUUUAUGCAGUAGAGUACGCAGCUGACAUAAGUCUUUAGAUAUAUAACAUGCCUGUAAGGUAUGCAGCUAAACUCCGACUCUGUGAAGACCUAAAAUACCCUUAAGAUGGUAAAAAUAAUCUCAUUAGAGGUACGGAGCACGUCUGGACAUUCUCAGGACAGAGGCACUGCUGCAGCUCAGCCUAUUGCUCUCAGAGCAGGGAGUCACGGCAUAUCAAACCAACAUGAAACACAGAAUUGUAACAAGCUCCCAGCUAUCUUGACAAAAGAACCAAAGGGAAUUCCAAGAAAGCUGUAAAUUCCUUAUAGCUCAGGAGGUCUCCAAUGAUUAGGUUGAUUAAGUCUGCCUAAGCAUUUUUCCAUCAUUUUCCACAAGAAUAUUGCAGGUAGACAAGAGCACAAUAGAUACAAAAUCUAGUUCUGAUUUCUUCUUCUCAUGAUUCUUGUUCCAGUGUGACUCCAAAACCUGGGUUUCCAACAGACUUUUCUCCAUUUUUUACUUUUGGAACAUCCCUUGUGGCUGGGUUGUUGAUAACAAUAGUAUGUGCUUCAAGGCAGGAAAGGUAUUGUUAGGUGUUGAUAUUUUUUCAUCAACAACACAUCAACCAGACUUGCUUUAAGUAAGGCUAGACCACACAGUGGUAAAAUACUGAUGUCUUAUCUUAAUUGUUUGCAGUGUAGCUACAGGCAACCUGCUAUACCAGAGAUAACCGAAUGCUAGAGGAGGGUGGCUAUUUUAGACAACUUGCAUCUGCAGGAAGGAAGAGAAUGUGAUACCUCCGCAGGACUUCAGAGUGGUUUUCCUUUUUUAAGCUCAGUUCCUCUUCAUAUCAGAUAAUUGCAGGUAGUAAAUGAAUUACUUGGACAGUCUGAAUGGGUAAUGAAGAGGAAGCUGAGUGAUGGCUUAAAGACCUUCUGCACUUAAGUCACUUGAGUAGGCUACAAGGACACAAGGUCUAGGUACCAGGAUGGGCAGGGGAAUGCUGUAGUCAAAGAUAUCUUCCAUCACGUGGUCUGGGGCUAAGUCUGGUGGUUCUGCAAGGGAUGUGACAGCAUUUACACUCCUUUAACUUCUUUGAUCUUCUUUGCUUUUUAUCUACUAAAAGAGAAAACCCUGAGUUUUGAAUCCUACUUACGUUUUGUCCAUAGCAACCGCAACACUUCCCUCAGAUUUGCUAAAAAGCACAUCUUUAAUUUAGAACAAGAAAGACAGACCUUCCUGCAGGUCCUCUGCUUCUGAGCUUGACUGAAAUUUGGAAGCCGGCACUUUCAUUACAUAGGGUGUCUCUUGAUGGCCCUUCCAAUCUUAGAGCCUUCAAACUCUGUCUUAGCAACCCACAGCUUUUGUAAGCAAUCACUGGAAAAGCACUGAGGAAAAACUGUUGAGUGAUGACUCACUCUAUCACAGUUUGGUUGCUUUAUCAUUUUCUAACGCUUCUGAUGGGAAGAUAUUUUCUAUUGUGAGAGGCUUGUUUUCCUGCUCCAUUAGAACAAUGAUCUGUAAGGAUUUCCUGAGGAGUGACUUCUCCUUAUAGGGUGUGAGAUUUGUUGUCCUUUAGCUCCUGGAAGGCCAAGCUAAUUAACCAUCACCUAGUUACUUACUACCUUCCUGUUCCCUUUCGCUUUUUCAACACCCACUUGAGAGCAGAGGGGUUGUCACAGGACAUGCACACUGGGAAAUAGGGUGUGACUAAGGACAAACCAUCAUAAAUCAGUAGUGGAGGGGGAAAGGUGUAGGAUCAAGCUAGAGCAUCCAGGGGCCAUGUUCAAACGAGAGUGCUGGGCCUUGCUGGGCUCCACAGCCUGGAGUAAUGCUAUGGGUUCAGUUCAGUUUGGCCUCCAGUGUGAGCUCCAGCUGUGGGAAUGGCCCCAUUUGUGACAAUAAUUACAACAACUGACUUCUUUUGCCUCCAACCAGAAAUAACUCUUGGGGCUUCUUAAGAAAGCAAAGGCACAACACGAGUCAAGGUUUAUCUGCUUGGGCAGGAGGCCCAAAACCACUGCAUUCUUCUCUUAUUUACAGUCUUCAGUGAAGACUUCUCUCCCCUGAUGACUGCAGAUUUUAAUAUUUCUUUACAAGCACGGCUGGCUGUUUUGGGCUGCUUGCAGGCGUAGCCACACCUGUUAGGCUAGAUGCUAAACAAGAUAAAAAGGCAUGUUUUAGGGAAAACCAUCUCAGUGACUGCAUGGCCAAAAGUGUUUGUUAAGAUCAUCCUAGGUAAGCUCACGCAGGAGUUUCAGAGAUGGAUUCUUUCAUGAAGCCAUUGACUUCUGGUUGGUUGUGAGAAGGUCUUUUAAGAUGGCAUUAAGCCUACAGAAACGCUUCUGAUCUGAUGGUAUGGGUAAAUAUACGCUUGUAUGCCUUUAGGCUGGGGGACUAGAAGAUAUGUCAGUCACAUUACAUAGUUCGCUAUUGUCCCUUUCCCGGCUCCCAGGAGGCCGAGUGAAGCAGCUGUACUGCAGGGAUGCCAACCCUCAGCAAAAUACAGCAAUUGUUUUAUGAGUUUAAUGCUCUUUAUUUCCUAACUUAUUUACCAGGGGCAUGUGUGGAGCUCUGUGGAAGUCAGUUUGCUGAGGAAGAAAGCCUUAAAAACACUCCUCCAUUUUAAGAUGUGUUGUUUUGCAUUGAAUACAAGUGCUCUGUUGUAGAACAUUAGAAUUUCAUUUUAAAAAAAAAUGAAAAUGAGGAGGGGAGGAAGGACCUGGACAGGAAAACUCCAAAACACUGAAAUAGCUCUUCAGCUCACACUGGGAAAAGCUAAGACAGAAACCAGGUUGGCCCAUUCUCAUCUCCAUUUCCUAAUUGAUUGCAUCAGCCACCAAAUCAUCGCAGCGAGGGUGGGGACCUCACUGCCUUGGGAUCAUGCAGCCUCUGCCCCAGUGGCUGCCAUGCCGAAGGGCAAAUGGCUUCUUCAUGGCACUGUAUCUCAGUGAAUCUAAUCUGACCUCCAUGCAAAACUGCCAGCUUGGUAUUUGCUAGCUCAGGUGCUGCUAUCACCUCCAUGUUUACAGAAAGAUAUCGGUAAUGGCUGUGACACUGCCAGUCUCUCUACUAAGGGGAAUUAAUUGCAGGAUUGGGGCCCCGCUAUGAAGCGGAUAAAAGGGAUAUAGAAAAGCGGCGGAGCCCAGACAGCAUUAGAUAAAUGGUGGUGAGAAAGCCUGCGUUUAUAGCACUAAUGUAACUGUGCUUCCUGAAAAAAAAAAAAAAGAGAGAAAAGAACAAGAAAUUCCCCAGUGUAGGCAUACUUAUUGUUUGCCAGAAAGCAUUCUGAAUUCCUCAAUAAUCAGUCAGGAAGCGGUAAAAUCUGUCAGACAAAUGACCAACAUGUUAUUUUUUCCAAUAUCGAAUAUAUGUUUUAGGUCAUUACUAUUAGAGAAAAACAUUUUGUGGCCAAUGCAAUUUAUUUUUUCAGCCAUGCUAAACUUGUAAGUCACACACAGUGAAUGGAACCUUUGCACACACACACACACACACACACACAAACAUGGUAAGAACUUUGUUUCAGUCCAGACCAGUACUUUGCCUUGUAGAUGCAUUAGCUAUUAGCACUCACUGUUCUUUCAAGAAAUCACACAAGCAGAAAUUCUGUUAGUGUUUUCCCAUUCAAACGAUCAGAAAAGUGGAAUUAAUUGUAAUAGCUAUAAUAUCUGUGCUGCCUGUAGACACCUGGAUUUCCCAUCAGAAACUAAUGCAAAAAUACGCAAGAUAAUUUCUGAUUUUUUUUUUAGUUACUUUGUGUUAUUACUUUGGUCUAACUUCCUCUGUGGUGGAAGGCAAAGUGCUGACUUUACAUCAAAAUAGGUCUACUACCUUUGGAAGGCUUUUCUGAGGACCUCCUGUGAAGUUUUCCUGUUCUCACCAUUGGAUCUUUUUUUUCUCUGAUGGGUGUAAAUUAGUAGGACUUCACCUUAGUAGGACUUCACCUGGCGUUGCUGUUGGAGUUGAGUCAGCAGAGUAACACUGUGAUUCUUUCCAGCUUCUUUGCUUGUAGAUAAAGAGAAAGAACGCUAGCUUAAUAACCUUUCCCCAUUGUGCCCCAGAGGUUGGGCAUCUUGCCAUACACAGAUGUUAUCAAAAAUGGAAUCAUUUUAUAAAUAAACUGUGAAUUAACAGCUGUCUGGAUAAAUGUAUGCUUUGGUCCAUGACUGAUGUCUUCCAUUCUUUGAGAACGUUCUCUAAAUAAAUCGAAUGUUUUCAUUUUGUACUUUGUUAUGAUUUAUCACGUUGUGGUUUAUUUUAAGUCUUUGAAUGCUCGCUCUUCCACUUGCUGAACUUCAGACAUGGAAUUAAAAUCCCCUUGGCUGCACAGUCUCCUCCCCAUGUUCUGAAGGAGAAGCCACGUAGCUAUCACAAUGGAUUAAGACAUCCUGCAUUAAAAACCUGUGUCACUUUUGCAACCGUGUGCAUUUAUGCAACGAGACAUCAGUAGCUAAUGGGUCCAUCUAAGACAUUAAGUUGAAUGGACACUUUUUUUUCAUAGCGGUGGUAAUUAUGAAUACUCUGAAAAAGGCUUCUUUGCCAAUUGUAUCCCAAGAAAAUCAAACAGUGUUCUCUUGCAAAAGAAAAAAAAUAUUAAAUAAAUAAAAAAGCUUGGCAAAUCUUCAGCCAUCUUAUUCCAUUACAUACCAUUAAGAAAAACAGUGGCUUGUUUAUUCACUGCAAGUUAAAUAUAUGUACAGUAGAUCUUUUGAAAGUCCCUAAAUGCUGCUUUAGCCUGCUGUAUGUCAAAGGCAUGGCCUCAAGCAAAGUGCUCUUCUAAAAGGCUACUUUUACACAUAUGUGCUGUGGAUAACCCAUAGCACUAAUAGGUAAAUAAUCAAAGAAAUGCAAUGAUUUUGAAUUCUUUCCAAUAGAAUUACCACAGCUGCCUUUCCUUUCUGAAUUCAGGCACAGUGGAGUUGUGGGGAUAUCCAUCCAUCUAUAAGGAAAGAGUUGGUUUUGGUCAGCGUGCCUCAAAAAAUCAGUAUAAAACUCACAAACUUUCUACAGAACUCUUGUUUUUCUGGGAAAGAAUAUUAAUGGUGUAGAAGUACGUUCACAAUAAAUACCUUUUGCUGUUACCAAACACAUCAGCUUGCAUUUGGUCUUUAGUUAUGCCUUAAGCCAUUUAUUUACUGUCUAGUCAUGAUUCAUAACUAUAGAUUGCUGCCAAGUGAAUUCCAUUGCCAUGGGGAUAUUUGCAGACAUUUUAAAUAGUUGAGAUAAAUAAAAUAAAGUAGAAACCCACCAAGAAAUAAAGCGAUACAAAAUGGGUGAUAACUAUCUUGCAAACUAGAAUUAAAUACACUGAAUUUUUGGUCCGCAUUGUCAACACAGCAUUAACUACCUGAGCUGCAUAAUAAAUACACGACAAGUAGAACAAUAGUACAAUUCUUUCCUCUGUGAAAGUAGUCAAAACACUUGUUAAAGAAGGGUAACGUCGGGGAGUAUUUGCUGCCUACAUAACUGAACCCACUUUCACUAACAUUCAAUUUUUGAAGGAAAUAAAGAACACGCUGCCAUGAGUCUGUAAGGAAGUGUCAUAUCCAAUGGAUGAUUUCUAUUGCAGUGUCUUUGAUGAAAACAAGUAAUACCUGAACACGAGCAUGGGCAUCCUCAGUAUUAGUAUAUACAUAAAGCAUGAAUUAAUGCAACUAGGAAUUCCAGAUUAUGCCUCUCACUUUGUAAUACGUACACUGAAGAAACCAAUUCUGAAGCCUGCCUGCAAAAAGCACAUUAUUACUUCAGAAACUCUCUAACACUCAAACUUUGUCAUUACA